UACGAAGGGGGCGAGCGUUGUUCGGAAUUACUGGGCGUAAAGGGCGCGCAGGCGGCCCUUGAAGUCAGGCGUGAAAGCCCCGGGCUCAACCUGGGAGGUGCGCUUGAUACUCGAGGGCUUGAGUGCGGGAGAGGAGAGUGGAAUUCCCAGUGUAGAGGUGAAAUUCGUAGAUAUUGGGAAGAACACCGGUGGCGAAGGCGGCUCUCUGGACCGUAACUGACGCUGAGGCGCGGAAAGCGUGGGGAGCAAACA
RNAcentral lists this ribosomal RNA (252 nucleotides) under uncultured bacterium. RNAcentral describes it as "partial 16S ribosomal RNA". It matches the Rfam family "Bacterial small subunit ribosomal RNA", at positions 524 to 774 of the family's 1533-position model. The record is from RNAcentral.